UACGAAGGGGGCUAGCGUUGCUCGGAAUCACUGGGCGUAAAGGGCGCGUAGGCGGCCCGCGCAAGCGUGCGGUGAAAGCCCGGGGCUCAACCCCGGGUCGGCCGUGCGGACUGCGGGGCUCGAGCACUGUAGGGGCAGAUGGAAUUCCGGGUGUAGCGGUGGAAUGCGUAGAGAUCCGGAAGAACACCGGUGGCGAAGGCGGUCUGCUGGGCAGUAGCUGACGCUGAGGCGCGACAGCGUGGGGAGCAAACAGG
This 254-nucleotide ribosomal RNA is filed under the name uncultured bacterium. RNAcentral's name for it is "partial 16S ribosomal RNA". It matches the Rfam family "Bacterial small subunit ribosomal RNA", at positions 524 to 776 of the family's 1533-position model. The record is from RNAcentral.